UGGCUACUUUCUCCAUAGGAACGUUUGUAUCAGCUUUCACUGUGCUGUGUGGAGCCCGGACUGACCUCCCUGACAGGCACAUAUGCUGUGUCUUCUGGCUGAACAUUGCUGCUGCAUUGAUCCAGAUCCUGACAGCAAUUGUGAUGGUCGGCUGGAUUAUGAGUAUAUUCUGGGGAAUGGACAUGGUCAUUCUUGCAAGCUCCAAGGAGCAGGGAAUCCCACAGCAGCUGUAGUGGCUGGGACAAGUAUGUUCAGAGAAACACGGCGAGUGAUUUCCUUGGGCAGCUGUGGGCCACGGACCUUCUCAUUACCCUUUGUCUCUCUUCUUCCUUUUGUUUUGUGCCUGCCCCCGGUCCACCUGCCUGUCCAGCGGAGCGGCGGUACCGAGCACCCGAGGGAGACUUGCACUGACUGAGCAGCAGAGAUGGGGCAAGCGAUCGCACCUUGGGACUGGCCCCAGCGAGCCAGCGAUGGGUGGCCAAGGAGGAGGAAGAGGAGGGUGCCAAGAGGAGGGAGGCCCCUGGGCAAGGUGGCACCCAGUCAGGCAGUGGCACCAAGGGGGUGGGAGAUGCUGCACUCUCUGCUGUCCCAGCAGGAAGUGGCCAGAGCUAUUCUGCCUCCUGUUUCGCUUGCUGUUAAAGAAAACCAGCUGUGAGCAUCAAAUGCCAAGGAGCUAUUAAUAGGUACAUGUACAGUCUGUAAAAGCAAACAAGUUGUACAAUUUUUCCCCUCCAAGAAGCCAUCCUUGACUGCUUCGUGGCAACAAAGGGCUCAGCCCAGCCUCCUCUGCUGUGUAUUUAUGAUGCUUGGCGAAGCUAUAUCAUUGCAAACGUCUUGAGAAAUGUGUUCUCUGUAAAUCGUGUUGUACUGCUGAACUGAAUUGGGCUAUUCCCUCCUUCAAUCCAUUGGCACCAUGCAAGCACCUGCCCCCACCGGGCCCAGGAGGCUCCUGGUAGCAGCAGACAGGGCACUCCAAGCUGCCAAAAGCUCCUUCUUUAAAGGCUUUUCCUCCCCUGCCCCUGGAAGGGAUGUGCUGGCAGUGUCUCUUUGCUUUGGAAAUGGAUCCCUGCAGUGCAACCCACGGUACCGACUGACACUGCGACUCUGCUCUGCUACCCAGGGGCCAGAAGAAUCACCCAGCACCUUCAUUCCCCCCCCCCCCGCUGCAGGAGCACAUUGCAUCCUGGAGGUCUCACUCGUGCCAGCAGGAGCAAAGCCCCGAUCCUCUCCUCACUGGACAUAUCAGCUGAUGCUUCCACCAGAAUAUUCCCCUCUGCCUCCCCUACUGCCUCCUUUCACAGUUAUAGUACAGCGAGGCUGUGGCCGUGCUUCUUGCUGAUCCCUGCACACAAUCCAGCUGCCAACAUGGACUUAGGCGUGUGGCACUGAGCUGGCUCUGUAUCAUCCUUAGCUUUGUGAGAAUAAAUGUUUUAGGUGCAAGUGUUACAGCUAAAAGCAAUAGUAACUGAUGAAGACUGCAACUGCUUCGCCACCAUCAGCCAGCAACAAACUAUUUUCUGCUGCUCUUUCCUGAUUGUGAAAACCGGCUUUUUCAAAAAGGGCUGCAAUGAAACAGUUUCAGCCAGGCUGAAAUGCUGCUUUACUGCUUGUCGGGAAGCACUGUCAGGUAGAGACCAAACCAAACACUUUUCUGGAUUUGUGGUCAGUCAUCGUGUAGCUUCACAGCUGAAGCACUGCAGUGGGGAGAGAGUGGAAAUGUUGAUGAAUUUGUUGGUGUUGUCAGUUCUGUACUUACCAUAGAAAAAGGGCUGUGGAAAAUGCUUGCUGUCCUGCCCAAAUCCAAGAAAGCUGCAUGUUCCUCCCCAUGUGCAUCAGCUGCCACACAUUUCACUAAAGACUUUUUGCUGGACACUGCUCCUUGGCGCACAGCCUCUGUGCUGCAGGAGGUGUUACGCAGAGCUCCACCUCCGGGAAGAUCACACAUGAAGACUCACAGGGCCGAUACUCUUCAGGGGCAGCUUUGUUCCAUCCUGGUGUUGCAUUCUCUCCUUUUUGGGAUGACCCACACACAUGCUCAGCCAGCAGACUCUCCUCUCGCCCUACCACUGCACAGCACCACGGGGGCACUGCACAGGGCUUUGUCCCACAAAUACUUUUUUGAGCUAUUCAUUCUGAACAACAGCUUCUACAUGUCAACACUGGCACUCAGAAUAGCCUAAGAAGAGCCAUAAAUGCAGACAAACCUAAUGUUUCUUCCAGCCUAAAGUGGAGGCUUCUCCCAGGUGCUCAGAGGCAAUGCACCCCUUUGGAUCCCAGCUGAGGUUUCUCUGUGUUUGUGCGCACAAUUCACUUUCAGACAGUUUGGGGAUUAAUUUUCCUACCUGGAACUCAGCACUUCCAGUCUACCUGCAUAACAUCCCAAGUGACCAUGGCACCAGAUGGACUGGGAUCAAGCAACAAGCCCAGCAGGAGCCCAUACCACAUACCACCAAUCCUUCUUCCCCAUCAUCUGUAAUUGUGACCUCUCCCUGCACUCACCCAGAGGGCAGCAGCACUCCCUUGGUAUGCUUCCGCCCUAGUGAGGAGGGAACUGAUGCCUGCGUGCAUCAUCUGCUCCCUAUAUGGAGUUGGUGCUGGUGCCCUGACGUUCAGCCUGCAUUCUGUUUCUGUGCUGGUGCCUGACCUGACCCCUGCAGUUCAUGGAGGAGGGCUUGUGUGCCACUGAUCUUGCUGGUUGUGAUGUGCUUUGAUACCGUGGAUUUUCUCUCCCUCUCUCUCUCUCUUCUUUUUCUUUUUUUUUUUAAGUUAAAUAUAUUCUAUUGCUGUACAGCUGGAAUGAAACACAUUCUCUUUAUGUAGCCCAGAGAAACUCUACCAGGCCUGAAUUUAGAUGAGAUUUCUUCCCAUGGGGCAGCAGAGGCCUGGCUGGGGUUCUCACUUCAGUGUGGCCAUCCCUGUGCUGCUGAGACAGUGAGAGCAAAGCCUGCCCUGUAGCUGGCAGGGUGCUGUCUCACCUCGGUCUUCUCUGCAACCUUUGCACUUUGAAACGACUCUGGUCACAUUCCCAUACGUGAGCUGGUGCCACUGGGCAGGUGGGCUCUGGGGAGGGUAUGAAGUUAUCGUGGUGGGGUUGCGAUGGGGUCCCUGCCGGGUGUGCCAGAUACCUGUAGGCUCAGCUGGGGAGUUCUGCUUGGAGGAGGUCCCACAGGGCUGACAGCCCACCAAAAUGCAACUGGGUAUUUUGACUGAGAAGUCCCUUUCUGGAUACCACUAUCCAAGAGCAGCAAUGACCCUUUCCUUUACUCCACAGCUACUCCACAGCAGGCACAUUGCACACACAGGUAAGGAUCUGGAAACCAGCCCCCUCCCAAACACAGGAACCUUCCCGAGCUGCUGGACCCCACCAGCACCAAUCCAGGCAUGCUCACGGUGACAGUCAUCACCUAGAAGUGAUCUCUGCAGCUGGAGCUCACCUGGGGGCAAAAUAGGAUUAGCGCAGGUUGUAUACGUGCUAAUCUCAUAAACCUUACAGUCAAGCUGUUCAAACAUACAUAUGAACCCUAAUAAAGCCAUGAGAGGAGAACAAACGAUCCCAGAAAUGAUGUUGCAGUCACAGUACGCUUUGGAGAGAGUUUGCGAGGGAGAAUCGGAGCAGCGUGGAGGAGGACGGAGCUCCGCGUGACGCCGCGGGAGCAGCGGCGGUGCUGCGGCCGUGCAGCGCCCCGCGCCUCGCAACCACGGCGGGAAGAGGAGAGCUAUGCCGUGUCUUCUGGAGAUAGAGUAGCCUUGAUAGUAUGCAAAGCCGCAGGAUGUGAAGCCUGGGUGAUCCCAUCUCCUGCCCUACAGCCUGCGUCACACAAGUCUCCCAUUUAGGCCCUUCACACGCUGACUCCCACGUGUACAUGCAGUUUCCAGACCAUCUAAAAUAAAUGUGACUUAAAAAAAGAAACUAGUGAAGAGGUUCUGGGGAAAAUGGGCAAGGAAGCUCCUGUUUAACAUCUGUUCUGAGACACUAGGGUUGGAGUAUCUCCCCUACUGGGACAGGUUGACAGAGUUGGGGCUCUUCAGCCUGGAGAAGAGAAGGUUCUGGAAGGACCUGAGAGCGGC
Molecule: non-coding RNA, 4068 nt
Organism: Meleagris gallopavo (turkey)
Lineage: Eukaryota; Metazoa; Chordata; Aves; Galliformes; Phasianidae
Source: RefSeq, a predicted model, not a curated record